Molecule: long non-coding RNA, 2110 nt
Filed under: Homo sapiens (human)
Lineage: Eukaryota; Metazoa; Chordata; Mammalia; Primates; Hominidae
Description: HSALNT0346026
Source: RNAcentral
UCAUUGUGACCUGGGAGCCCUGCAUGAUGAAGGGAUGAUGGGUGAGCUACCAAGGCUAACAUUUUCCCGAGGACAUUGAGUUAGGGAAGUGGCCUCUCCUUGAGGGAAGGAGCCAGAUGACUUCUCAGAGAACAACAACCAUAUUCAAAAUAUUCUCAAGUUUCUUUUGUUUCUUCUUGUCUGCAUCUGAUAUCCAGGACAUUAUUCCACAGGAAAAGGUUAACAGGAAAUCAAGAUCGGCCCGGGCUAAGAGGAGGAUUGUAAGUGAUUCAGAAGCAAAGCUUAUUGAUCACGAAGCAUGACAGUGGAAGAAUUUCCUGAAAAUGGAAGGAGAAGAUGGUUUCACAGCAAAGCUACUAAUCUGAAACAGUAAAAGCAACAAACAAAUGCCCACUCCCCUUAGCUGACCAGAACACAAUCCUUGUGAAAUAUAAAAACAAUUAGGUACAUGUAACACAGGACACUGUUUUUCAAAUUUAAUGUUAACAGUGGGAUUAUUUGUUUUCCCUGCGACAAAUUUCUUUGUGGGAGUCUGAUAUAUCAAAUAGGAUUGGUAAAGUGAAGCAGGCACGGGCAUCUAGAAUUCUGCUGCUUCGUACUGCCCCUUCCCAGUCCCCAGUGGCCAGGAGAUGCCCCAUCAGAGCUCCAGGGCUCUCAGAUCAUUGUUUGAAAACUACUCAUCAGAAUGUCUCUUUGAAUCAGAGCUUGGAUUUCUGAUGCAUCGGACAUUUAAACUCUCCCCGUUUUGCCACCUCUCUUGCAGUGAGUUAACCUAAAACAUAAAGGGAAAAAGCAACAACAAAAAAGAUCAAAAAAGCCCAAACGAUCAAAAAAGGCACGCUGAAAUCUGUGUCCUCACCUAUUCAGAAAGUCAGGGGAAAAAAAGAUAAAAGAAUAAAUCCUAAGCAAAAGCAACUUUCCAUCGAGAUGACAAGUAAGAUAGCUUCUUCCCUUCUGCAUGUGAAUUGCAAUUCCGAUUUAUGAUCUGUGACAUGAUAAUCAAUCAGUCUUAACUGCAUUUUGCAGAUAGUAGCAGCUGUGGAGAUGGGUGCUGAAGUUGACGUUGCCCAGAGAUGAUGUCAUUUCUGGCAAACUCCCCUCAAAUGUGCUUUGAUCGAUGUGGUUGUUCUUUCCUCUGCUAAGUUGACGUGUACUUAACCUCAGGCAGGAAUCACGGUCAAGUCCGUUUAGGGGUCAGAUCCGAUGCAGCCAUGGAAAGCUAGAGAUUCUCAGUCCUGUCAUCCCUUGAUUUUACUUUUCUAGACACUAAGUAAAAAAAUGAGAGGAGAAGGAAGGGAAGCAAGGGACAGGAGUAGAGACUGCUGGUGUCAAGGACAACAGGGUGGAAGGCCAAAUGGAACAUCACAGUCAUCUUGAGUACCACUGCAUGCAAGAACAGCUACCUGAAAGUCAAUGAUGCAUUUAAGAUUUUUCUUCCUGGCCCAUAAUUCCCGUUUGGUUGAGAGUAUAGCUGCAUUAAGUAUAUGGUAAAUUUGCUGCAGGUGGCCCAGAAAACCUCCCCAGCGCUAACAAUCAAUUACCUCUCAGGACAGAAGCUGCUUCCUGUGCAGGAAAUGCGAGAUCUCUGCUCAGUGACAGAGGCUCAGGAAUUUCAUAGGACCUAUGGAUCUUCCAGUCCAACUGAGUGCAGAAAACUGCCAGGUUUCAUCUUCCUCCUUCUCUGCACCAAAAAACCUGAGACCGGGAUGCCAUGUAGCUGCUUCAGUUGGGAGAUGAUGCCAAGAACCACAAAUGAGGAAAUGAAGGGUCUGGCUCUUAUCACCUCUGAAUAGCAUGCCAUUCUCUUAGCCUCAUCUAAGAAACAGACUGUAGGGGAAGAGAAGAUCUAGAAUGUUGGUCACCAACCAAUGGCAGACAUUAUCAGACAAUUUGUGAGCAAGGAAGUCAGGAACUGUGAGCCACCUGCCAUCUUAAUUUGACAUCUAGUCUCACUACUUUCAAGCACCUCCACUUCAAAAUACUCUUACAAGUGAAUCACCAUUGUUAAAUGGAUCUUUGAAGGAAUUUUGACAACCAGACUGAAAACAAUCUAGACAUCUUAGAUAUUUGUGGCUUCACAGAAAAUAAAAUAAAACAACCCUUUUCAGCA